Non-coding RNA from Macaca mulatta (Rhesus monkey), 681 nucleotides. The record is from RefSeq and is a predicted model, not a curated record. Lineage: Eukaryota; Metazoa; Chordata; Mammalia; Primates; Cercopithecidae.
UCUUCCCCCGAUGUCAGCGUGGCCCUGUGUGUCCAUCUCUGCCCCAGGCUGCACACCUAUUGUCGCCCGCAACCCAAACAGCAGCCAAAUCCAGCCCAUCUGCCACGGCUCUAACGCUACCCACUGGAUUCACAGGCUGUGGCAAUUUAAAAAUCUCCUCUUCUGCCUAAUUGCUCUGGUUCGAUUGACUAAACAUGACAGAGCCCAUCGCACGGCGCGGCUGCCCGGUGUGCUGCAGGAACAGACAGCUGUGCUUUCAGCCCUGUAAGCUGAAGACAGAUGCAUCCGCAGACGCUGCCUCUAAGCCCCUAAAACAGAGAGUGUUUCCAGGAACAAAUCCACCUCUUCCACUCCUAGAUGUAUCCACAGACGCUGCGUUCAGUGGCCUGUAAGGACGACUCUCUCUCAGCAGGAAGUAGCCAGAAAGAACAUGCCACACCUCACCCUUUUCAACUAUAGAGUCUGGAUUGACAGAGCAGGAACGUCGCCGUCUUGGACACACACCACCAUUUGAAGUUCUCCUUGAUUAAAGCCCCCAAAAAUCCAGCCCCAAAAACAUCAACCUAAUGUCUAAUAUCAGUGUGACCAUAAACCACAAAUGACACCUUUGGCCAGAAACAUGCCAACCCCAAGACAGACUCCCCUCUGACCCGAAACCUUCCAACCCAGCCAUAAAAAUCC